Molecule: ribosomal RNA, 496 nt
Filed under: uncultured bacterium
Lineage: Bacteria
Description: partial 16S ribosomal RNA
Rfam family: Bacterial small subunit ribosomal RNA
Source: RNAcentral
AUGAACGCUGGCGGCGUGCCUAAUACAUGCAAGUCGAGCGAACAGACGAGGAGCUUGCUCCUCUGACGUUAGCGGCGGCCGGGUGAGUAACACGUGGAUAACCUACCUAUAAGACUGGGAUAACUUCGGGAAACCGGAGCUAAUACCGGAUAAUAUAUUGAACCGCAUGGUUCAAUAGUGAAAGACGGUUUUGCUGUCACUUAUAGAUGGAUCCGCGCCGCAUUAGCUAGUUGGUAAGGUAACGGCUUACCAAGGCGACGAUGCGUAGCCGACCUGAGAGGGUGAUCGGCCACACUGGAACUGAGACACGGUCCAGACUCCUACGGGAGGCAGCAGUAGGGAAUCUUCCGCAAUGGGCGAAAGCCUGACGGAGCAACGCCGCGUGAGUGAUGAAGGUCUUCGGAUCGUAAAACUCUGUUAUUAGGGAAGAACAAAUGUGUAAGUAACUAUGCACGUCUUGACGGUACCUAAUCAGAAAGCCACGGCUAACUACGUG